CCUCAAGAUCACGCGACAGGAAGCUCCGUGUGACCUGCCGACCGCCGCAUGCGCACUGGCUUCCAGAGGCCGGAAGUCCCGCCUACCCGCGCCACGCCGACUAGGGAGCCGGCCGCCGUUGCCAAUGGUAACGGGAGGCCGCCUGGACCCCCCGCGUUGGGGCGCGCUCUGGAGCUUCGGUGUCUGCGUUGCUCGGAAGGGGUGUCCGUCCCUUCCCGGGUUUGGUGACCCCCACGGUUGUGGCCUGGACGACUGGCUCCCCGACUUUCCAGUGGUUUCGGGGGACCUGGGCGUGGGCGGCGGGGACUGCUCCUCUCUCCAGCGGUGCCUGGAGAUAGGGACCCGCGUGAUGGGCCGCAUCUCCCGCGCUGCCACGUGCCGCGGUAGAGUUUUGAGUGUCCUCCCUCUGCCCCGUUUUUUUCCUUUUUUCCUCUUAUACUCCUGGCAAAAGUCUUUAAGGCUACCUGUAGCCUUAAAAAUUAAACCCAAAAGGAAUUGGUGAAGGAGCAGUGAAUUUCAAACUAUUAUGCUUAGAAUCAUCAGGGAAGCUUGGGGGGGCCUCAACCCCCCCCCCCCCAUUCUGAAUUCUGAAUCAGGGAGUGUACCUUGGGUGCUUGGAAUCUACAGUUUUUAUCACACACCAGUCGGGGACCCCUCUUGAAGAAACAUUGUCCUGAAUCAUGGUGGAAAUGCAAAUCAAAACCGCACCACCACCUACACCUAUCGGAGUGGCUAAACUCAGAAACAACAAACGUGGAGAAGAUGUGGAGAAAAAGAGCCCUCCUUCACUGUCGGUGGGGACGUAAACUGGUACAGUGGAAAACAGUAUGGAGGUUACUCAAAAAGCUAAAAACGGAACUCUAGGAGCCAGUAAUUCCACUACUGGGUAUUUUAACCAAAGGAAAUGAAAACACUAAUUCGAAAAGACAUAUGCACUCCUAUGCUCACUGCAGCAUUAUUCAUAACAGCCAAGAUCUAGAAGCAACUCAAGUGUCCACCAACAGAUGAAUGGACAAAUGGAGCCGGAGAGCUUGGUCCUUGCCUCGUCCAGUCGAAGAAUGAAUCUCGUGGACAAAGGAGAGUGUGUAAAGCUGCAGGAGUUUAUUAAGUAAAGAUAUAGAGAAGGCUGUCAGAAGUGAGAGGGGUCCGGACAGGGUUGCUGCUGAGGGCUUUUUUGGCUGGCCUUUUAUAGAAAACCUGAGUAAGGAGUUGAUGGCCUUGAGAUUUUGGUUUGAGUCUUGGUGAUUACGUGAUGGGAAGAUACUUCCUAGUAUUUUGGAGGCAGGGGCCAGAUGUACUUCCUUAUCUGUUUUUAUUGCCUUAUCUGUGUUGCAUCUCAGUGUCCUUGGGAUUUAUGGGAGCCCAACCCUGGGGCCUUUCCCUUAUCUUUCCCUGCCUAGCCUUAUCUGUCACUAAGUCAUAAAGAAGGUAGAGUGUGUGUAUACACACACAUACACACUGUGGAAUAUCAUGCAACCAUAAAAAUAAGAUUCUUGCCAUUUGGGACAACAUGGAUGGAGCCAGAGGGUAUCAUGUAUGCUAAGCAAAAUAAGCCACAAGAGAAAGACAAAUAUGGCAUGGUAUCGCUCAUGUGUGGAAUUAGGAAAAAAAAAAAGUCAAACUCAUAGAAACAGAAUAGAAAAGUGAUUGCCAGGGGCUUUGAGGUGGGGGAAAUAAGACGCUGGCAAAAAGGUACAAACUUUGAUUUACAAAAUGAAUAAGUUCCGAUGAUCUCGUGUAUAACAUGUGACUGUAGUUGAUAACACUGUAUUGGAUAAUUAAAAUUUAGGAGUAGAGCUUAUGUGUUCUCAUCAUUAAAAAAAGGAAAUUUAAAAAGGAAAAGUAAAUAUGUGAGGUGAUGAUGGGGAUGGCUGUGUUAAUGAACACAAAGAGGGAGUUUUUUUUUUUUUUUUAAGACAAGGGCUUUUUUGAAAAAAAAAAAAAAAGAUUUUAUUUAUUUGAGAGAGCACAACAGAGAGAGAGGGAGGACAAGCAGGGGGAGCAGCAGAAGUCAUGACCUGAGCUGAAGGCAGAGGCUUAACCAACUGAGCCACUCAGGCACCCUGAGGAGAAUCCUUUUACAACACAUAUAUAUCCAAUUAUCAUGUUGCAUACUAAAUAUAUUAGAAUUUUCUUUGUCAAUCUUCUGUCCAAAAAAAGCAGAAAGAAAGGAAGGAAGAAGGAAAGAAAGAGAAAGGAAAGAAAGAGACUGUCCUAGAAGAGGAUGAAACAGAUUAUUGCAAGUACCAGGGACUUGGGGCUGGGUGGGGGAAAGCCGUAGAGGGGGCGUUUCAGCAGGCUCAGAACACAGAAGCAUAAGCCAGACACACUGACAAGGGAAUGAAUAAGCUAAAAAGUGAGUUUGGCACGAUAAGAAGGACCACAGAGUGGGGGAGCUUCCUGAGGUUCUGGGAGACUGAAAACUCGGGAGAGACUAUUUGGCAUUACUUAGUCCUGACUCAUGAAUACAUAAGCCAACUUAGAUCAUGCUUUUGGGGAUUGUGUUGAUUUUGGUCACUACACAGUGCAACUUAAAAUGGGUCCCAAUUGGGACCUAAAUUUCUAGAAAGGGUUUUAUGGUCCAGGUUCUACCUGCUUCAUUUAUGGAUGGGGAGAUUGGGAGCCAAGGUCAGGUGUCCGGAUCCUCAGAGGACUGGGUGGAGGCAUCUGAAGUUGGAGUCCAUGAUGAAACUAGCACAAAUAUGUUUUCAGGAGAAAAACCAGAAAGCAGGUGUGAACUCUUCUGGUACAGGGGGCGGUAAAUCCUAUUCUGGUUUUGAGAAUUUCAUUUUUCUUUUCAUUUCUUGUCACAUUCAUUUUAAUUCAACAUAAAGCAUAUACCACAUUAUGUUCCUGGCUUAGGAGUUGUCCCAAGAAGUGAGCUCAGUGCUUUAAAAAGUAAACGUGAAACUUCCAUUGCUAGAACAAGGUGGUAGCAGAUACAUCCUGUACAAUUUAUGAAGGGAUGAUGGCUUUAGAAAAAGAGGCACAGCGAUGAACACACGUUUGUUAAGUUAAAUGGCCAAUAUGGUAAAAUGAAAAUAAUCUAAGUAAGUUUUAAUUCAGACAAAAUAAGAGCUAGGAGGAAACAGUAUUUUCAGAUGAGGAAAGACAGUUCAGAAAAGUAAAGGGUCUUGCCUAGUAACAGAGGCAGCAGAGCCAGGUCUGGAAUCCAAAGCUCAUGAUCGCUGGUAAGAGUUUCUCAACCAUUUAAUCCUACCCAAAUAUAGGUGCCAGGGCUUUCUCUUUCAAUUUUAUCCCCACUUCUGUGAAUGUAAGGCCCCUUGCCUUCUGCUUAGGGGAGUUUAUGAAUGUCCCAUGGCUGUUGAAAAGUGUGGGGAAAAGGUGUAGAUUUCCCGUUUACCUGAGGCUUGGCAAAGUCUUGGGGACACAGUGAGGAAUCCUUCACUUAAAUGAUCAAGGGAUGAUAUUAUGCAUGCAGUUGCCCAUGGAAGGACCUUGAGCCUGAGGGACAAGAAGAACAGUAGGCAGGGUGCUCCUUGAGCACCCCCAAGGCAUAGAAGAAUGUUCUGGAGGCACUGGCUUGGCUGCUGUUUUCACCAUUGUCUCCCAGUGGCACCUGGGCAGAAUUUCUGUCUCCCUGCAAGGCCCAUAGGUCAGGUUCUCAAUGCCCACUCCCCGCAACCUGACCCCCUCCAAGCUCAGGCAAAUGUCCACUUUAUCAUUGUCAUCUUUCUAUUGGGUGUGUUGAGUUUGAUAACGGUUGCCAUUGCUUGGUGCCUACUCUGGGCUAGUCAUACUCCAGUGCAGUAGUUAAUCUUCACAGUCUUGGGCUCUUAGUACAGUGGACAUUCAUGAGUUCACGCAGAGGGGAGGUCACUUUACUGGGUGCCGUGUUUGCGAGAUAAAGAAUAAGUUUCAUAACCACUUCUAUGACAUUUAGGUAAAGUUGUUCAUCAGUGUGCAUAGCUAAGGAAACUUAAGUCUCUUUUCCCCACAGGCAAACUCCUGUCUGGGCUUGCUAAGUGUUAUUAAUGCCGGGGGACAAAGAGUGUGGGUAGAGAAUGCAAAUCUGUCAUUCAUGAGUAUGUUUGUGGCUUGGGGAUUUUUCGAGUUGUUCUGCAAAGCUGCAUCAGGAUCUCUGCUUGUAUCUACAUAAGAAGGCUCUGUCUGUGUGUUGAGAGACUGUCCAUAUGCUCAACAUGUCUUGCAAAGACUUAGAAUUUACAAUAUUGUGAAGAUCUGCUUCUUUAAAAUGGAUAGGAGGUUGAUUUACUUUGUCAUCAUUGAGAUGAACCCACUGACUAUGAGCCUCCAGGAAGCUCUCUGAGAAGUAGGGAUGCAGGUGGAAAUAUUGUUCCUUGUAAAGACAAUUUCCAGUGCAAGUGGAACACAUGAGCGAUUUUGGAAAUGGACCACAGAGCCAGAUGGAGUUCUCCGGGGAUGAGGGGUCUGUGUGGCGCAGGGAAGGCCAGGUUCUCAUCUGGUCUCAUAAAUGCCAGCACAGCAUGGAGACCUAGAGACUCGGCUCAAGGGGUUUACCUACUAAAUCUGAAGUAGCGGAGCUAGUUAACCACAUGCAAACCGGUUUCAUUCUUUUCCCACCUUAAUGUUAAAAAUCACCUUUUAUUCUGCUGCUGAGACAGAUUCACAGCUCUGUUUGUCUCUCCUUUAGGCGGAUUUCUUCUGGGUCUUUUUACUGGGCACUGUUAUUAGAAAGAAAAGGAACUCUAUUUAGCACAGGGCCCAAGCACGCUGGCCUGGCAGGAGUGUGCCAAGGCUGGAGAGGCAGACGCCACUUCUGGGAAACUAGAGAGGACCCGAGGGGAGCAUUUAUUCCAAACCACUUAAUCUCAGUACAGAUACCGCUUGUGGGUAUUACAGUUAUUUUGAAAGAAUGCAAAGAAGCAAAAAAAGGGGAAAAAAAAGAAAAAAGAAAAAAGAAAAAAGAAAAAAACACCCUUCAGAGAUCAGACCCUCAGAGGGCAAAAGUUCAAGGGAGGAUUUAUUUUAAUGUUCAAAGGGAAGAUGGAUGGUGAGUGAAAUCGAGAGCACUGAUAAAAACGUGAAAGCUCAGAAAGCCCAGAAGUGCCGUUUGGUUUGCUAAGUGUUUGUUUCGCCCGAGCCAGAAGCUAGUCAGGCAGAUCUGCCCGAUUCCUCAAAGGUUUUUCUAACUGGCUGCUAGUCUCAGGUAAAAGCCAUAUACUGCAGCCUCAGAAGCGUGCAUGUGCAUGUGUGCAUGUGAUGCCUGGUUCUUUGUAGAUACAAGGAACAGAAUCAUAGAUGCGUAGGACCUUGGGUGGUGAGCACUAGUGGCAUUUUAUUAUAAGCUAAAGCCUACAGCCGAUUUUAGGCCCACCACUUUCUGAGGCUUCCCCGAUUAUCUCUCUCUAACCGGAAGGAUUUACCCACCCCUUAUCUAGGAAAGACAUUUUGCAGAAGCUGAAAGGAGUAAGGGACAUUCACGUCAUUUAUUAUGAGCCUGUCUCAGGGACAGCUGCUGGCUAAAACAGCGACACGACCUGCCACUGCCAAAGCAUUUCAUCUCCCAGCUGGUGGUUAUUAUGAUCAUCGUUGUUUUGUGAAGCUCAUAUCCAGGGAAAAUAUAAAAAUUAUAUAUGGCCAGCUAGCUAGGGGCUUUUGGACGCCAACUUCAUUUAUCUGUUCAUCAUAUGUAUUUUGAGACUCAAUAUAUACAUCAGGCAAACCUUAGGCUCUGAGGUCACAUAAGGAAAAUAGAUACGGUCUCUGCUCUUGGGCAGUAAAGUGGGUCUUAGCACUGUGUGACUUGGUGCGAAAAUUUUGCUCCUCUGCUGGAGAAACUUGCAGGUUAAUUGCAAGCUCUGCGGCCUCCAUUCGGAGAGGCUAGGACAUGAGCAACAGCCCGGGAGAUCGUCUCAGUCGCUGCUGAAGGGUAAUAAAGCAUGGCCAUGCACACGGUGAGGCUCUGGGAUGCUUGACUUCUUUUCAGGUGGCUCUGCUCCCCAGGAGGGACCCAGGACAAAAUGAAAAGGCAGACCAUGCUGGCCAUCGAGAAGAGAGGGUUCCACAAUACACCCUCCCAACAGUUAUUUUAACAACAAUAACAACAACAACACUUGGUGCCCUGUUUCUUGUGCAAACUGUGGUGGGGAAACCAUAACUUGGUGAGGAUGGGCUCUCAUCCUCUUGUUUCUACCAUCUGUUAGGUGAGAAAGAAACAGCCUAGAGUGGGUGCAGCUAAGAAAAAAUUUAGUGACUAUUGUGGCUUGGACAUAUCUUAAAGUAUGGUCAGUCAACUAGUUCUUGAAUAUAUCUCUGAGCUGAAUUAUUAACAACAUAUGUCUAAGUGAACAUAAUAGGUACAGGCUUGCAGCCCUCCUUCAGGUACACAUUUGGGAUUUUCCCAGAUCUUGAGGAGGAGGAGAGAACAUAAAUGUGAAUUAAAAUGAUAACAAUAAUUUAUUAGAUUAUCUUGCCACUCUUCUCUUAGAAAGUAGCGCUUCCUCUUUCCAGAAUAUGUGAAGGUUAUAUUUGGAACCACCCUUGUUUUGAAACUUUGUUUUAAAUUAAGCUUAGUUUGGGCUGGGUUGGGUUCUGAUGAGAAUAGUCUUAUCACAAGAGCCAAGAAUAGUUCCAUAAAAAACCCUCAGUAAAUACAUGAAAAUUCAUGAGUCCGUAAUGAUACUCAGGAGAGAGCCAGAAGAAACUCAUUUGAGGUAGCUAGUACUGACUCCUUAUUUGGAAGCUAUGUAAUUGAAGGGGAAAUAGGUUUAAUGUCUUUCCAAUAGGAACUCUAUGUCAGGGUAACCAAACAGCUCCAGUUGACAAGAUACAACUAUUUUACAGAAGAAUGCCAGCUAGAUGUAGAAGGAUAGGCGUAGAAAAAUCAUAAUCUUGCCAUUCCAAUGAGAAUGUAGAUCCAAGAAAGGACUAUCAGCUUGUGGAGGGACAUUUGGUAGAUAGUGGAUGGGACCUGCACCAUUUACGUUGAUCCAAAGCAACACCACAGUGAUGAGGUUCUGGUCAUCAGGAGAAAAAGUAAUCAUACAACGGAUGGCUCAGAUUGCCAUCACCCUAACUAAUGGUAGAUCUAGCAUCAGAAAUGGUGGGACAACCCGAUAGUACAUGUUCUCCUGGUAUCGUGCAUUCUGAGGUCACAGAACCCUUGGGAUGCAAUCUAGCCAACGAUAUUCACUUGGGGUCUAAUCAUCCUGUAAAUGUAAUUUCUGGGAGAUACAAAGGAGAGAGGAAGAAGCUAAAUGACACCAUGGGUUAAGCAAGUGGGGGUGGGGGACUUCUAGGCCGGCCCACUGGCUACAGUAAGAAGAUUCCACAAAGAUACUAGUGUCUAGAUUAAAGGACGCUGAGGACAUGUAGCAAGCAGGUGGAAUGCGUGGUUUGAGACUGGUUCCUGGCAUGAACAAAAAGGCUAUGAAAGACAUUUAGGGGGAUAUUUGGGGGAAUUUGAAUUUAUAGACUAUUAGAGUAUGAUUAUUAAUUUUAGGGGUGAUAGUGUUUUUUUUUUUUACAUAAGCAAGCGUUACUAAUUGAUUAGAAAUGCAUUUUGAAAUAUUUAGGAGGUCAUGUCAUGAUGUCCCUAAUUUAUUCUUUACACACACACUGUCCUACACAUACACAGACUCUGAACCAACCAUACUUGUCAAAGUCUGGCAAGUAAUGUGUAAGUUGCUAUCAAAAAGUGAGUAAAAAAUGUCACAUUUUCUAAAGAUCGAAGUCUUUAAAGUGGGUAACACAAAAAAAGACUACCAUGAUUAUUUGUUCAAAAUAAUGAGGAAGCCUCUCUCUGUGUGUCUCUCAUAAACAAAUAAAUAAAAUCUUUAAAAAAAAAUGAGGAAGGCAUUAUCAUAAGCAGAUAAGUAAGAAAAAACAUUUAAGAACUGAUAACUAAAUUAUUAGUACUUCUCCAGAACCUAAUUUCCACUGGGUGCAAUUAAUGAUUUUUAUAACUUGUAUUCACUUAGUGCUACUCAAAAUCUUCAUCUACUAGUGAGAGUUGAUCAGUGGUAAGGGAAUGUUUGGAUAAAUUAUAGCAUGCCCGUAUUGGAAAUAUUGUGAAGUCCUUAACAAUUAAGAUUCAGAUUCAAUUUAACGCUUGGAAUGAUAUUUAAUAACAUGAACACACGCUUACAGUACAAUGGGAAGUGCAGGAGAUACCACUAUAUUCCAAAACGGUCACAAUUUUAUGCAGGGGUAAUGAUUCAGCCCCCAAUUUCUGUAAUUGCUGAAAGGGGGUAAAGAGGUGGCAUCUCGUGUAGUUGUAGUAACACCGUGAUUGUCACAAGAAAAUAAGAGGAAAAAAACACCCACAGAGGAGACCGUAAAAAAAACAAAAAAAAAAAACAAAAAAAAACCUGUUGCGCUCACACGGCAUGGAUUGUCUGUGAGCAUUGUUGUCUGUUUUAAGCAAAAGUGAGGUGUCUCACCACAUGGGGCAGAUGUGGUGAAUUUUCUGUCAUGAGAAAAAGAACCCCCUAAUUUUACUCAUCUCCAAAACUGAAAGUUGAAGAGUUGAAGCCCUUUUGCCCUUCAGUACAAUUAAACUCAAGAGAGCCUCGUUGCUGCCAGGCACAGGCCCAGAUGGCGGACUAGGAAAAGCCAGUGUUGCCCAGGCAAACACAGGAGAAGCAUGCACACGACACAAGGCAGAGGUGUUUAAAUGUACGGUCAACCAUUACAUUGUUCCCGAACAUUCUCUCACUCUCCAGGAGGGCGGCCAAGCCUGUGGUGCUGCCAGGAGAUCGGGUCAACCGCGAGAAAUGGACUCCUUUGUCAUGGGCAGCCUUCCUGCCCUCUGCUCGGGAGAAGAAAAAGUGUUACAUGCCUUUACGAUUUUGAGGAGACCUGCCCUUCCAUGGGAUGGGGAAAUAAAAGUCUGACAAUGGGAAGCAAACCCCACCAGUCCCAAUGAUUGAAGUAGGAUUCUCCCCAACAACUCACGAGGUGGAGGUAGGGCCACGGGCGCUGACGACAGAAGACCUCUAGGCUUCGGUGUGCAUCCAGGGGAGCCAGAGCCAGAGCCAGAGCCAGAGCCAGAGCAACAGAUCUCACAGAAUCUCACCUACACACCCACACGCACGUAUGUAUGAGGAACUAGGACCGGAGUGGAACAAAAGGGACCUUCACCCUUUCUUACUCUCUAUAUUUCUGGAUUAAAAUUCUUUUUCUCCUUU
Molecule: long non-coding RNA, 9134 nt
Organism: Canis lupus familiaris (dog)
Lineage: Eukaryota; Metazoa; Chordata; Mammalia; Carnivora; Canidae
Exons: 4
Source: RefSeq, a predicted model, not a curated record